AUUGAACGCUGGCGGCAGGCUUAACACAUGCAAGUCGAACGAGUGGCGGACGGGUGAGUAAUGCUUGGGGAUCUAGCUUAUGGAGGGGGAUAACUACGGGAAACUGUAGCUAAUACCGCAUACCAUAGGAUGAGCCCAUGUGGGAUUAGGUAGUUGGUGGGGUAAUGGCCUACCAAGCCGACGAUCUCUAGCUGGUCUGAGAGGAUGACCAGCCACACCGGGAUGGAGACACGGCCCGGACUCCUACGGGAGGCAGAAGUGGGGAAUAGUGCGCAAUGGGGGCAACCUGACGAAGCCAUGCCGCGUGAAUGAAGAAGGCCUUAGGGUUGUAAAGUUCUUUCGGUGGCGAGGCGUUAAUCACAGAAGAAGCACCGGCUAACUCCGUGCCAGCAGCCGCGGUAAUUC
RNAcentral lists this ribosomal RNA (405 nucleotides) under uncultured bacterium. RNAcentral describes it as "partial 16S ribosomal RNA". It matches the Rfam family "Bacterial small subunit ribosomal RNA", at positions 30 to 526 of the family's 1533-position model. The record is from RNAcentral.